This 300-nucleotide ribosomal RNA is filed under the name uncultured bacterium. Its description in RNAcentral is "partial small subunit ribosomal RNA". It matches the Rfam family "Bacterial small subunit ribosomal RNA", at positions 148 to 463 of the family's 1533-position model. The record is from RNAcentral.
UCAGGGGAACUUGUGCUAAUACCGUAUGUGCCCUUCGGGGGAANGNUUUAUCGGUAAAGGAUCGGCCCGCGUUGGAUUAGCUAGUUGGUGGGGUAANGGCCUACCAAGGCGACGAUCCAUAGCUGGUCUGAGAGGAUGAUCAGCCACAUUGGGACUGAGUCACGGCCCAAACUCCUACGGGAGGCAACAGUGGGGAAUAUUGGACAAUGGGCGCAAGCCUGAUNCANNCCANGCCGCGUGAGNNAUNAAGGUCUUAGGAUUGUAAAGCUCUUUCACCGGUGAAGCCAAGAAGGNCCNGCA